RNAcentral lists this ribosomal RNA (379 nucleotides) under uncultured eukaryote. RNAcentral describes it as "partial 18S ribosomal RNA". It matches the Rfam family "Eukaryotic small subunit ribosomal RNA", at positions 592 to 976 of the family's 1831-position model. The record is from RNAcentral.
CAAUAGCGUAUAUUAAAGUUGUUGCAGUUAGAACGCUCGUAGUCGGAUUUCGGGGCGGGUCGACCGGUCUGCCGAUGGGUACGCACUGGCCGACGCGUCCUUCCUUCCGGAGACCGUCUCACUCUUAACUGAGCGGAGGCGGGAGACGGAACGUUUACUUUGAAAAAAUCAGAGUGUUUCAAGCAGGCAGCUCGCUCUUGCAUGGAUUAGCAUGGGAUAAUGAAAUAGGACUUUGGUGCUAUUUUGUUGGUUUCGAACACCGAAGUAAUGAUGAGAAGGGACAGUCAGGGGCACUCGUAUUCCGCCGAGAGAGGUGAAAUUCUCAGACCAGCGGAAGACGAACCACUGCGAAAGCAUUUGCCAGGGAUGUUUUCACUGA